Manis javanica (Malayan pangolin) is the source of this 2938-nucleotide non-coding RNA. NCBI's taxonomy places the organism in Eukaryota, Metazoa, Chordata, Mammalia, Pholidota, Manidae. The record is from RefSeq and is a predicted model, not a curated record.
CCUGACAUUUGCAAUAACAUGAUGGAUCUAGAGGGUAUUAUGCUCAGUGAAAUAAGCCAGGUGGAGAAAGACAAACAGCAAAUGAUUUCACUCAUUUGUGGAGUAUGAAAAUAAAAUGGAAGGAAUAAAGUAGUAGACUCAAGAGACGAAAAAGGGACUAGGAGGUCACCAAAAGGGAGGGAGUGUGGGAGGGGGGACAAUGGGAUUAAGGGGCACAAUAAUUUGCAAGCACAAUAUAGGUAGGUACUGGGAAUGGUAGUUCAACAUGGAGAAUAUAAUUAAUGGCUAUUAACAUCUUUGUGAUAGUGACUGCUGGAGGGGGUGAGGACUUAAUAAUGUAAGUUAAUGUUGAACCAGUUUGUAUUUGAAACCAUUGUAAGAUUGUAUACUUUAAUUAAAAAAAUGAUUGCUAGAAAAAAACUAGAAUGGACAAGGAAAUUACAUUUGGAAAAGGUCCCAAACAACAUGUAAUAUAAGGAGCACAGUAUAACAAAACACAUACAAUGCUAUGUGUUUAAGUGUAUAAAAUGCAUAGAAACACACAACCUGCUGGAGAUGAAAUUGGCAAGAAUUAGCUGUCAUAAUCAUACAUGAAAUCCAAUCAGUACUUUAGUAUCAUUGGGGUGGAAAAGUAAAAAGAGCUAUAAUAAAGGCACACUGUAUGAAAGAAGUAGGUAGUUCUUACAGAAAACAUUUCAAGAAUCAGAAAAAGCAAGACUACAUGUUACUAUAUGCGAGGCUUUUGUAAUAUAGAUCCAGAAUACGAUUCUUGGACAGAAUAGUAGAAAACAUAUCAUUAUUACUCAACCCUGUCAUUACAAAGUUUGUAUAACAGAAUCCAGUUAAUUGUGUGUGGUUCUUUAUGUCCAAGUUGAGUUUAUUAAGGAAUGCAAAGUCGAUUUAACAAUAGAAAACCAGUAAUUAUAAUGACUUUUUAAAAAAUAGUCCUUUUUACUCAUUCAAAUAUUUAUUAGGUACUUCUCAUGGGCCAGGUACAGUUCCAGGUGCUUGACUUUUGUCAGUGAACAAACAUCAUGUCACAUACUGCACAGAAAGUAUUUAAUGAAUUCAUAGGCAUUCAGUCUCCAAAUUAUAGAAUACAAGAAAAUCCUACAGCAGUAUGUAGAGUGACUAUUAAAAACUGGAAACCAUCUUUCUUUAAAACUUUAAAAACAUACUAGAUAUAAAGUGAAUUUAAGGUAUACAGCAUGCUAAACACAUUUAUGUAUUGUUAUUACCAAUUAGCACUUUCACAUAAUUAGUCUUUCUCUUUAAUAUUUGGGUUAAAUCUAGUCUCAGCACAUUUGAUGAUUAUAGUUUAAUACUGUUGGACACAAUCUUAAAUAAGCCAGAAAGCAUACACCUCUUUUCUGGGGUUUUUGUGAGGGAGGGCUUCAUGGCAUGGUCGUGAUUGACUAAAGUAUUGGCCAUUGGCUGAUUCAAUGUCCAGCCCCCACUCUUGGGGUGAGGGGGUGGGGUCCAAAAAUCUCAUUAGCAUGGCAACACUUGUUUCGCCUUUAAGAUUGCAGUGUAUUUAGGAACUGUGGAUGAAGACCAAAUAUUUUCUUAUGACUCAUUAUAUUGCAGUCCACCCAUGGACUUCCCAGAUUCCUUACAGCUAAACAGUCCUACCCGUUACAGCACUUAACAUCUAGUAUGGUAUUUACACAACAAAGAUACCAAUGCAAAUAGGUCUGACAUUUGGAGAACUGUGUGGGGUGGGGACAGAUUUAAAGGGACAACUCAUUUGUCCUAUGAAGUCUUGACCAAGUUUUCUCCCAAAGUGAUGGAACUUCACUUGCAGGCCGGCAGCACCGACCUUGUCAGGUUCCCAGAAGCAGAGGUGGUCAUGGCGAACAUACAGCUUCACCGUUCUGGUAUGCUUUUGCUAAGAGAGAUUAAUUACUCUAAGCCUCUCUGGAGGUGUUAGUCAGAAAGAGAUAUGAGUGACAUGAAAAGAAUGGGGUGCAUCAAGAACUCAGGAAAUUAAUCAGGAAGCCAGAAAGGACUCUCAGAAGUAACACUCUUUGCAAUGUGAGUUUGUUCCACAUGCUCUGAAUCCGGGCUCACCUUGAGACUUGAUCUAGCUAAUUCAGGUAAGGGAGCAGGAGCAGAGUCAAGGAACAACCAUAUGAUUAAUUUUCCUUAAAAAUGCCAAGAUACAGAGUCACUCCUGUUCUUGUUAUGCUAUCUUAAGGCUAAGAUUCCAUUUUAAAAGAGAACUGGGAAGUCGGAUUCCUGCAUAUUCUUUGGUAAUCAGCUAGCAACUCAUCUUAAAGCAAGACAAGCACUCGUAACUAUGUUCCCAGUGCUUGAGGGUAGCCACUAUCUUGUAGAGGAGCCAGAAGUUUAUUCUACAAAAUUAUCUAGAAGACUGUAUGGGUAAUGACAUACUGUCUCACUGGAGAUAGACAUCAUGAGAUGCCAUGACAAGCCUACACCCCCCAACCCUUUACCUUUGUCCCAUUCUUGAAAAUCCUUAAAAGACAAAAUCGCAGCUUUUAAGUGCACCUCUCAGAGGUUGCCCCUCACUCCCCUUUCUUGGUGUAUUUUUAAGACUUCUUACUGCUCAACUUACUAUGUUUUGUCUGUGUGCUUCCACUGGUGCCUUUAUCACUUGUUUCAUUCCGUUUUCCAGACUUUAAGCACUAAUCUUCACUGUCCUACUUCAGAUAAGUAGGGAGGGGCUGCUGAGAGCCCUGAUUAGAGCUUGCAGGUUCCCAUCAGGGAGCUUCCCCGUCCUCUGCUUUAUUCAAGUAGACCUGCUUUUGUCUCCCUUGACUGACCUGCUCCUCCCUUGGAGUGGAUUUUAAUAAAACUGGCUCUGCUUCACUACUGCGGCUCUGCCCUUCAAUUCUUUGUUGCAGUGGGAAGAAGAACUGAGGACAAACUAAACCCCCAACAGAGGCAUUAAUAAAAUGUUUGAUUUCCCUUGUUU